Molecule: small nucleolar RNA, 83 nt
Organism: Arachis duranensis
Lineage: Eukaryota; Viridiplantae; Streptophyta; Magnoliopsida; Fabales; Fabaceae
Product: small nucleolar RNA snoR116
Exons: 1
Source: RefSeq, a predicted model, not a curated record
AGGCUGUGAUGAUUAAAUUUUGUACCAUCAAACUCUGAAAGCCAAUUUGAGCUUUUCGAUGCCAUCUAUCACUUUCUGAGCCU